UCUAUUCUUCUUGAUUUCUCAAACGCCACGGGUCUGGUGAUUAAUUUCCACAAAAGCACUUUUGCUCCGAUUCAUGUUGAUCCGUAACUUGCAUCUCAACUUGCAACUAGUUUUGGCUGCACGGUUGCAUCGUUUCCUCAAUCCUACCUUGGCCUUCCCCUCUCCACUCACAAAUUAAACCUAAAAAAUUUCUUCUUCAUCAUUGACAAGAUUGAUCGUCGUCUCGCGGGUUGGCGAGGGGUUCUCCUCACCCUAGCAGGUCGUGCUGUUUUG
RNAcentral lists this ribosomal RNA (273 nucleotides) under Triticum aestivum (bread wheat). RNAcentral describes it as "partial small subunit ribosomal RNA". The record is from RNAcentral. Lineage: Eukaryota; Viridiplantae; Streptophyta; Magnoliopsida; Poales; Poaceae.